Molecule: ribosomal RNA, 454 nt
Filed under: uncultured organism
Description: partial 16S ribosomal RNA
Rfam family: Bacterial small subunit ribosomal RNA
Source: RNAcentral
GUACACUCCUGCGGGAGGCAGCAGUGGGGAAUAUUGGACAAUGGGCGCAAGCCUGAUCCAGCCAUGCCGCGUGAGUGAUGAAGGCCCUAGGGUUGUAAAGCUCUUUCACCGGUGAAGAUAAUGACGGUAACCGGAGAAGAAGCCCCGGCUAACUUCGUGCCAGCAGCCGCGGUAAUACGAAGGGGGCUAGCGUUGUUCGGAUUUACUGGGCGUAGAGCGCACGUAGGCGGACUAUUAAGUCAGGGGUGAAAUCCCGGGGCUCAACCCCGGAACUGCCUUUGAUACUGGUAGUCUUGAGUUCGAGAGAGGUGAGUGGAAUUCCGAGUGUAGAGGUGAAAUUCGUAGAUAUUCGGAGGAACACCAGUGGCGAAGGCGGCUCACUGGCUCGAUACUGACGCUGAGGUGCGAAAGCGUGGGGAGCAAACAGGAUUAGAAACCCUUGUAGUCCCAUGAU